Molecule: ribosomal RNA, 464 nt
Filed under: Vreelandella stevensii
Lineage: Bacteria; Pseudomonadati; Pseudomonadota; Gammaproteobacteria; Oceanospirillales; Halomonadaceae
Description: partial 16S ribosomal RNA
Rfam family: Bacterial small subunit ribosomal RNA
Source: RNAcentral
CCUACGGGACCUGCAGUGGGGAAUAUUGGACAAUGGGCGAAAGCCUGAUCCAGCCAUGCCGCGUGUGUGAAGAAGGCCUUCGGGUUGUAAAGCACUUUCAGUGGGGAAGAAAGCCUUGGGGCUAAUACCCUCGAGGAAGGACAUCACCCACAGAAGAAGCACCGGCUAACUCCGUGCCAGCAGCCGCGGUAAUACGGAGGGUGCGAGCGUUAAUCGGAAUUACUGGGCGUAAAGCGCGCGUAGGCGGUCUGAUAAGCCGGUUGUGAAAGCCCCGGGCUCAACCUGGGAACGGCAUCCGGAACUGUCAGGCUAGAGUGCAGGAGAGGAAGGUAGAAUUCCCGGUGUAGCGGUGAAAUGCGUAGAGAUCGGGAGGAAUACCAGUGGCGAAGGCGGCCUUCUGGACUGACACUGACGCUGAGGUGCGAAAGCGUGGGUAGCAAACAGGAUUAGAUACCCUAGUAGUC